Molecule: long non-coding RNA, 9169 nt
Organism: Passer domesticus (house sparrow)
Lineage: Eukaryota; Metazoa; Chordata; Aves; Passeriformes; Passeridae
Exons: 2
Source: RefSeq, a predicted model, not a curated record
GCAGGCAGGAAAUGGGGAGCAGGGCAGUGAGCAGGCAGGAAAUGGGGAGCAGGGCUGUGAGCAGACAGGGAGCAGGCAGGGAAUAGGGAGCAGGCAGGGAGCAGGCAGGGAAUAGGGAGCAGGGCAGUGAGCAGGCAGGGAAUAGGGAGCAGGCAGGGAGCAGACAGGGAGCAGACAGGGAAUAGGGAGCAGACAGGGAGCAGACAGGGAGUAGGGAGCAGACAGGGACGGGCAGCGGGCAGUGUCCGCGGGCAGUGUCGGAGGGCACGGCAGCCCGCUCGCUGCCCGCUCCGCUGACACCCGCGCACGGCCAAUGGGCUCGGGCGCUCCACCUGCCAUCCCCGCUGCGCCCAAUGGCGGCGCGGCCCCGGCGCUGCGCCCUCCCCGGCCAAUGGGAGCCGGCGCUGGCUCUCGUUAAUGAUGCAGCAGUCCAGGGAAGACUAUCACAUGUGAGCUGGCCGCCUGCCAGCAUGGAGACACCGAGAGAGCAAGCUGGUGUGGAAGCGUCUGGAAGGCACCCGUCUACCUGUCCCCAGUGCUUUUAAAAACUGGACGACGUGCCCUGCAAUGAUCACUGCGUCACCGUUUGCCACUUUGCGAACUACGCAGUGACAAACCUCCGAGCUCCGAAUCGCAGGGCGCCUGUUAACCCCUGCACCAAGCCCUCGCUGACAUGCCAGCCUCCAGGGACACGGGGGGGGAUAAACAGCCCAGACAAACCGGGAAAACAGCAGUCUUUGCAAAGUUGUCAUCUCUCCCCCACGACUACUACCCUCCUCUGCAGUACAGCAAUGCCGGCAGGAGUGACAUUAGUACAACCUGUGCCGUCGCUCCAUUGAGAAAACAGCUCUGACGCAGAACAGAGCAAUCCUGCCCAGCCAAAAUAAUAAUAAAGGCACUUUGGGAUCCCAACUUAGGGACGCCGGGGGAAAGGGACGCCCUGCAAAUAAUCCAAAUACGUAGCUGCAGCUCCAGCCCCAUCCUGAUCAAAGGGUACGUACGUGAGGCAGACGAACCGGACCGAGGAGCCGUGCCCGUGCACCAUCUGCGCAGUCCUCAGCCCUCCGCUCGCUCUGGAGCGCCGCAGAAGAGAAGGUUCCAGAAAUUUCCUUCCCGUUAACCCUUUCGGCGUCUGCCCACUCUCCCUCCCCGUGGGAUUAAGCGCGCCGGGUCUCCAGCAUCGUCAAUGGGCGAAGCCUCCUACGCCAGGCGAGCCCGAGUACGAGGUGCAAGUGGCAGUGGAUGGUGGCAGGAGCCCAGUCCGUGGUGUUGGUGCCACUUCUCUCCCCGGAGCCCUCUGUGCCUCUCUUGCUGCCUCUCUCCCCUCUUGCUGCAGCAGGGCUGUUGCUGGUAGACCUAUCGACGGAGCUUGCUCUCUCACUCUCUCGCUGAGCUCUGUGACGCAGCUCUAAAUUCUCCAGCCUGCUCCUUGUGUUAUAAGAGCGGAACUGCAGCUUUCCAGGGAGCCCGUGCCAGCGGUGCCAGGGCCAGGCAGACCGGAGAGAAUGUCGCUCCUGGACUCUGCACCUUUUUUUGGCAAUUAUUCUGUUCCUCACCUCUCUUUCUGCGCUUCCUCCUCGGCUCUCAGCCUCGCAUCUCCUUCUCUGCUUCUGAGUCAUACUUGCCAGGUUAACUCUUUUAGGAUUGGUAGUCAGCAGUACAAAUCUCGAGCGAUAGCAGCUGAAACCACAGCCAACUUUUUUGGUGUUUUCUGCUUUAAAAAAACCAAAGCAAAUCUUGCUGGCUCUAAAAAACAAAAACACGUGCACGCACACACACGUUGCAGCAGAGAGUUGGUGCUUUCUGAUUAACUGUUUCGGGGACAGGAACCACUGCUUGACUUCCUGAAAUGAAAUAUUUUAGGCCCAUGUCCUGCAAAUCCUCAGCAGGCAGAUCCCCUGAAGCACAAGGCAGCUUAAGAGGAGCUGCUGCUGUGAACAAAUGCAGGACUUACAGGCAUGAGGCUACUGCUGGCCCCACAAGCCCUGCUCUGCUGGCCACAAGACACUGAUCUGAGUGUGGUUUAGCUGCUGGGCAGAUGCGUGGCAUGAGAUAAGGUGCUGAAAGUGCUGGAAAGCCACAGGAUCUUCUUAAUCUGAGCAGCAUUAAUAAGUGUUAUCACACACACAGAUUCAAAACGCUCGGCGUAGGCAGGGGAACUAAUGACUGCGCUCCUGGAGUCACCAGAAUCCACAGAAUCCAAUAAUCCCCGACAAAGACAGGCCACAGGCAGCUCUGCAUUUCAGCACAGCAGGCACCAUCCCCAGGCACGGAGCCUUUUGCAGCUGCACGCUCUCUCCUUGCCUCUGCCCCCCAAAUCCCUGGAAUAACUCCGGUGCCUCCGGCCAGCCCCGGCACCGGCAGGGGAAGCAGAGCUCUGCCAGCCCCGGGAAGUGUGGAGGAGGAUCCGUGGUAGGUGCAGCUCCUGGGAACCAGGGAAGCUGAUGGAGAGGCAGCACUGAGAGGGAGUUGAUGUGCACACACAGAGCAGCGAGGAGCAGUCCGUCAGGAGCCACGGAAUGCAGAGAUCCCUGCUCCACUCCUCCGUCUGCCAUUUUAAUUCUGACUCCAGAGCCGGCUGCGAGCGUUGGGUUUUUCACUACAACCAAAGCUGAAGUAACCACGGUUUUUUCUCCUCACGGCGUCUGAAGAGCCUGAGCUAUUUUGGGAUUUGUCUGUACUACACUGAAAAUGACACCUGUUACGCACAGACACAAAUGAGGAAAAUUACAAGUGCCCGGUUCCUCUGGUAGAAUCCUACAAAAAAUGGGGUGAGAUCCCCUGGGUCAGGGCUGGCUGAGCAGCACGGGCUGUGCUGUGGGGUGAAGGGGAUGACCCCGCUGAACUGAACAGACACCAGUAUGAGAAAUGUAAAAAGUCUGUAGUAGCUGAUGCAAGGGGAAAUCAAGCCUCCAUGUGACCAGAAGAAGUAGUGCAUGAUCAACUAAAUGCCACAAUACAUGGUUUCUUAUGCAAUCGAGCCCAUGGGACUCCAGGCCUUACACAUCCACUUUGUGGCCAAAGCUGCAGGGAUUAACUCCUUCCUUAAUGGCUGGGAGCGAGCACAGGCUCCUGAAAUGAGCCAUCCCCCCAAGCAGGCCGGGCUUUGCUGGGCCUGUGCUGCUUCCAGGCACCCCCAUGCUCUCAGGAGCCCCAGCACGCGGGGCCAGGGCGGGUUUUCUGUGCUCCCACUUCUCCCUGGUGGUUUGCACCACGCUGUGCAGGCAGGCAGAGCCCACCUCGAGAGCCAGGGAGCUCCAGAUGUGACAGAGCGAGAUGAAACACCCGAGCCAGAUGAAAGCUGGGAGCCUCAGAAACGGGGCAGUUCAAGGUGCUUGCAGCUCACGCUGCUUUUGUCAGGCCUGUGGUGCGUCAGGAAGGUGAAACCAGCUUGGAUUUAUCCCAAAUGACUCUUUCUGGUUGCUUUCAGGAGAAAUGGACUGUUUAUUUUAUGGUUUGCUUUCCUUUGAAAAUCACCUGCCCUGGGGUGUUUCUGUCUUUGCCUGGCUCUAGGUGCUUGCUGGCUCCCAAGAAGAGCUCAGAGCUGUGCUGCACUGGGGAGCAAUCAACUGUGGGAGAAAUCUUGGGCCAGUGGAAAACUUCAGCCCUCAGAACUGAGUGAUGAGGCCUAAAACAUAAAGAAAUUUCCUGACACUCUUGGGCAGGAUUUGGCAUUUUCUGGUUUGAACAUCUUCGACAUUCACUAUAAAAAUCUAGGCUGCUUUUCUGAUUUGACUGGAGCCCAUUUCCAUUUGUAGCUACUGGUUUGGGUUGGGUUUUUUUUAGCUUUUUUUCUUUUCCUUACAGACUUUAAAAGUAGGAGGCAGAGCUUUGAUUUUGUAAGAACUGCCUAUGAGGGUGCAAAGUCCUGGGCUAGAAAGGAGCCUUGGAAAAUGGGAAUAAUCCAUGGCUGUGGUGUGAGACUGGGGAGAUCAGUGUCUCCAUCAGAAUGGCAGGGUAGGAAUCUCUUCCAAAACUGGGAGUGACCCCAUGGCUGAUCACAGUUGGGCCCUGAGUGCUUACAGUGCUGAUUAAUAAAACAGAGAGUUUUUAUAGUGCUGAACAUUCUAGCAAGAUUUCAGGACUUGCAACUGGGGUGGUUUGGGCUGGAUGUUUGGGGAAAAUACCAUUUUUUGAGGAGGGAGGGAGGGGAUUGACCCUCCAGACUGUCACUGACAGUUCCCUCAGCACCACGAAAGGAUCAGGGAGGGAUUCCUCGGCUUCCAGAGGAAGUUUGGGCUUGCCCUGCCUCUGUGCCAGGCUGUACCUGAAGGUUCAUCCUCAGUUCUCCGGCGUCUCCUGUGUGAUUUUCUGCUGCCACGCUGCGUUGACCUUAAUAGCAACAACAAACGGAGUCUGACACUCCCCAAAUCUCACCCUCGUGCACAUCAUUACUGCUGCUGGGGUGAUAAAGUGACCUGAGGGAGGCCCUUGGUGUUUUGAGGGCUGGAGGAAACCCUCGUGGUCCUGCCCACACUUCCAGCUUCCUGCCAGGGAAGCCUUGGCUCGGGUUUGGGUUUAAAUGCCAUCGGCCACACCUUCCCCCAGCGCAGGAAGCACGAUUGUUGAAAUCAGGGCAUGUUCCUGUUUCACUGAAAGGCUGAGAUAAAUAAUCCAAAGGCCUCGUUUAUGCCAAGUGAAUUCCUGCCCGGGCCGGAGCAAGUCUGGGCAGCUGUAAAUGUGUAACCCCUCGACCUCGCUUGGCACAUCCCCGCGGGAGUGGCUGGCCACAGACGGAAGGAGCAAAGAAUCGGGCAAAGGUGGACAGGGCAGUGGAAAAGUUUCUUCGCUUUACCAACCCGGAGGCUUAAAAGCUGCUGUAAAAUGCAGAAUGGUCAGUUUUUCAGGUGCUGAUGUGGGGUAGCUCUUGUCGGAUUUGCCAGUGAUACCUCAUCCUUACAAACAGCCUCAGUGAGGGACAGAGUCACAACUAACAUUCAGGGUUUGUUUUUUUCCAAAAGGUUUAUUGUUUUCCAGACAAGCUUCUUAAGUGAAUUCCAGAGAAAUGGCCAGUGAGUCCUUUCUUUACCAGCCCAGCAGAAUCCCAGAAUGGUUUGGGUUAGAAGGGUCCUUAAAACUCAUCCAGUGCCACCCCGGGACAUCUUCUACCAUCCCAGGCUGCUCCAAGCCCCAUCCAGCCUGGCCUUGGAUGCCUCCAGGGAUCCAGGGACAGCCACUGGGCACCCUGUUCCAUUUGGAACUCUGCUGCUCUCCCUGGGGUCCCACGCAGCAGGAGGAAGAGCAGCAGGCAGAUAAAGAGCAACAAACCCCUUCCCAGACAGUUCCAAAGCGGAUUUUGUGUGUCUGUUUGGGUGUGCUCAGCUGACAGCCCCACAGAGAGCGGGCCAGGGGGCUCACGGUGCCCCUCGGGAGGUGGUCCAAAGGAAUUGUGUGGAACAGCUGGUGCUGGGAUCGAAAGCCAGCCCUGCCAGCCCUGCCAGAGGUGUGGGCUCGCUCCCGGGCGCUGUUGGGGAUGUGUUGGCACGGCUGUGCUGGCACUGGGGAGUCGCAUUGGCAUGGAGCGUUUGCAUUCUCGGUGUGAACCCAGCCCACGGCACAGAGCAGGCACUGGGAUGGGAGCCCGCAGGUGAAAACCUGGAAUUUUUCCGGUGAAGUCUAAGAAACCCAGCUGGAAGUGCCAGGAUGCUUUUCAAAGAGGUGGCACCGCAUUGACAUCCCAGCCGCUUCAAGGCACCGCUUCGUGGCCUGUGUGGGACUCGGGGCCGGGGUAUUUGGGAUGCUCAGCCCACACCAGAAUUCCCGGUGGGAUACAGGGACACCGCCCUCACCCCCGGGACCCCCGGCCGCCCUCCCAGCGCUGGCAGCGGCUGUGGGGGCAGCUCCCGAUGCAAGGAGCCAGCAGCGCGGAGACAAAAGGAAUUAUUUCAGCUAUUAGCUGCUAAGAAUAGAGGCGGCGGGGGUGCUGAGGUGCCUGACAGCGCAGCCGGAGGAGCAGCGAUUGCAGGGGGAGCACGGAAAUAGCCGCGCUCCAGCUCAGCACCCCCAGCUCCGUGAGUCACCCCGGCCCGGGGCACAGGGGGCGGGCAGGGGCCGAGCCGGGCAGGGACCGAACCGGGCAGGGACGGAACCGGGCAGGGACCGAACCGGGCAGGGACCGAACCGGGCAGGGACCGAACCGGGCAGGGACCGAGCCGGGCAGGGACCGAACCGGGCAGGACUGAACCGGGCAGGGACCGAACCGGGCAGGGACCGAACCGGGCAGGGACCGAACCGGGCAGGGACGGAACCGGGCAGGAUCCGAACCCAGCAAGGAUCCAAACCCAGCAGGGUCCGAACUGGGCAGGAUCCAAACCCAGCAGGGUCCGAACUGGGCAGGAUCCAAACCCGGCAGGGUCCGAACCCAGCAGGAUCUAAACCCAGCAGGAUUCAAACCCAGCAGGGUCCAAACCCAGAGGGAUCCAAACCCAGCAGGGUCCAAACCCCACAGAACCGGCCCCGGGCUGGGUUUGCAGGGCAGCUUUGGGCACGGGCCCCUGGUUUUCCCUGCGGAGCAUCUUCCCAAUCGCCAGGAGAAGCCCAAAGAGCUGCUCUGGCUCCCCGUGCUCUGCUCCCUGGGCAGCAGGUCCUGCUCUGGCACGGGCCGGGAGGAUUUGGGAAAGGCAAACAUUCCCGGGCCAGAGCAGCCUCUUGAUGUCGGUCCAACUGUGUUCCAGGGUGUUUUCCCAAGUCUAAUCUCGAAGUUCCCUUUGCAAAUACCUCAUAAAAGGUUAAAGAUACGCACGGCAGGUAUUUAAGUGUGGGGUCAGUGAAUGGUGAGGUGCUCAGAGAUGGCUUUAACAUCUUGUCCUGCUGCUGUUUUACCAAAAUCCUUUUGGUAUCACUGCGUGUUUUUAUCCAAUAUAACUUGGAAGAGGCAAUUUUCCUUCUGUGCUGUUUGUGCAGCGCAGGGUACAACACAUUCCUGAUCUAUGACGAGGUUUCCAAACUCCAUAGUAAAAUGAAUAAUAAUGAUAGUAAAUGUUGUAUAACUUUUUUUUUUUUUUUUUAAUAAUACAGCAAUCUUUGUAUUACUUCAGUGCUGGAUUUUCCAGUUAUUGUAGAUAGGGGGAAAAAAAGAUUAAAAAAAAAAACCAAGGAAUAACAAUGAAUUAGGAAAAAAAAAAAACCAAAAAAAAAAACCAACCAAGAACUGAAAUAAAUUCAAGGUUUGUAAGGAAAGAAAAAUCAGUCCUGGGUGCCACUGCAGAAAGAGUCAAGCUGGACAGAAUUAAACAUCUCAGCUGGAGCGUGGACAGGGCAGCAGACAGCCUGCUAAAAAUAGAUUAAUCCCAAUUACAGCCACACUUCUGCCUUGCCCAGGUCCCCGUGGGCACAGGGCGCUGUGGCUGCAGAGGGGCUCGGUGCCCGGCUGCCCGCAGCGGGGCCGGGGGCACUCGGUGCCCAUCCUGGCAGAGCCCGGGGGCUCGGAGGGCGGCAGUGGCAGUGACGGUGGCAGUGGCAGUGGCAGCAGUGUCCCUCCUGCCGGCCUUGGCUGCAGCUCCAGCUGCCCAGCGCUCAGCUGUGCUCCUGCAGCUCUGCCUGAGCCGAGCUCUGCGCUCUGCCGGGCGCGGCUGCGGCUCCCGCGGCCUCUCCGCCUAGAGACCGAGCCCUCGGCCCCCCCUGCGUGCCAGGCUCUGGGUAAACCCCCCGAAAUCCCGGCUGGACGCAUUUCCUCCCCUGGCUGCUCCUCCGACUGCUCCUCCGACUGCUCCUCUGACUGCUUCUCGUCAGCAGCGUUGCAAAAUGUUUAGUGGGAAAUAAACAGAUUUGAGCCUCUGUUUUCCAAACUCUGGUAAGUUUAUUUGUCCCAUCCAGUCUGGGAAACUCUGGUAAAUAACUCUUUUCCCACCAAAGGGAUGGAUAUUAAUUACCAAUUUAAAUAGUCAUAAAAUGAAUCCCUUCAGCUGUAACAACUUCGUUUUGUUUAAUCAGAAAUCAGGAGUGAAUGCUCUGGGGUUUCUUUUCGUUUCUGUGGCAGAAAUCACAGUUUAAUAUUUUGGAUUUUCCUGAGGAACAACUGCAAGUACAGGGGGAAUAGCAUGGAUUAAAUUUUAUGUUCAUCUGAGCCUGAUGGGAUGUUUUAUGUAAAAAUCGAAGCCAUGGUGAAUGCCAGGACCCAGCCCUGAGAGAGGCAGGAUCGUGUCCAGGCUGGCAGGCAGCUCUGAGUGGGGAUAAGGGUUUGGAUGUGCUGGGUAGCAGCAAUAUUUCUGCUUAGAACUGAUCAGAAAAUAUUUCAGUUUACACUUCUAGGGCUCAAUCGCCCUUUGCUCUGAAAUGCAGAUCCAGGAUUUGGCUUUUUUUUGUUUUUAUUUAAAUGAGAAAGACUCAGUGCAGAGCAGUUGGUACCUGUGGGCUGCAGGGCAGAAAUUCCCCUGCACAGCCCUGUUUGCUUCCCCAGGAGAAGUCCCAUGGAGCCAGUCUCCUGGAGCCCAGCUGGUGCCAGAGCAGUUUCUGGCUGUCCCUCAGCCCUGCUGUCCCUCCUGCUGUCACCUCCCAGCUGCCUGGAGCUGCACCCUGGGUACACAAAAACCUCCCAUUAAACUUCUGCCAACCCCGUCAUGUAGCAAAACAACAUUUUCCCACUGGGAAAUGAACAAACAGGGGAAAAAAACCUGUUUGGGCAUUCCUGAGCAGCUGGUUUGGCAUUGCUGGGCCAGGAGCAGCCCGUGGCCAGGAGCAUCCCUGUCCUGUGCCCCCUGCUCCUGGCAUCAGCUCUGCCAGGGGGGCUGAGCCCGGGGCCUGGCUGGGAGAUCCCUGUGGGUGUGUCACUGUGAUAGUUUAUGAAAAUCCCUUCACUAGGAUUUUUUCUCCUGAGAAGCUGAGACGCCUCAGAGGAAAAGAAAAAACAAUAAUUAUCUGCUGCUGUGGAAUGCAACAGGUGCAUCUUUGAUGGGUCCAUGUGGGUUGUUUCUACUUAAUGACCAACCAUGGUCCAGCUGUCUUGGACUCUCGGAGAGUCACGAGCUUUUGUUGUCAUUCCAUUCCAUUCCAUUCCAUUCCAUUCCAUUCCAUUCCAUUCCAUUCCAUUCCAUUCCAUUCCAUUCCAUCCCAUUCCAUUCCUUUUCCUUUCUAGCUUUCUGUCUGUGUCAUUUUCUCUAUUCUUUUAGUAUAGCAUUUUUAAUACAAUAUAAUAUCAUAAAAUAAUAAAUCAGCCUUCUGAGAAGAUGGA